Molecule: long non-coding RNA, 693 nt
Filed under: Homo sapiens (human)
Lineage: Eukaryota; Metazoa; Chordata; Mammalia; Primates; Hominidae
Description: HSALNT0164237
Source: RNAcentral
CUUCCCUGUAUCAUAUUUAUUUUUUCCUCAAUAUCACCCCUCAUCUUUCACCCAGGGCCUGCAAUAUUCCUUCGUUCAUUUGACACACAUCGGUUGAUAUUUGUGCCUGCUGUGAGGCAUUAAAAACUGCUUAUCUGGCUGUGUGGCACCCGGGAACUUUCCCCAGGCCACACCAGCUACACCUGUGGCCUCCUCAGCCUGGGUUGCUGCCCUGAGUCACUGGAGUAGGUCACUUCCUCUCUCAGUCCCUCCAUCUGUGCAAUAGGGAUAAGAGGCCUGGCUUCUCUCUAGUCUCCUGGGACUGUCAGGGGAUGAGUCAGAUAACGGUGGGGAAGGCGCAGAGAGGCAGAAAGCAGCUCUUACUAGAGCGGGGCCCAUCUGGCUGAUGCAAGGCUUGCACUUUGCAUGUAACCCCAGCCGGUACAAACAGGGAUGGCUCCGGGAAGCGUGAGGAGCAGGGGGAGCAGAGAAGUCCCCAACCCUACCCGACAGCCGGGGUGUGGGAUCCAGACUGGCAGCUUAGGAGUCUGAGCAGCUGGGGCUCUGUCCAGGCUCUGCUUCCCCAGCUCUGCGAGCAUGACAGCAGGUUCCUGACCCCUCUGAUCCGGCUGCCUUUUCUGUCACUCAGGGGUUGCAGUACCUCCCUCACCUAGCUGAAGUUGGAAGUGAAGUGCACAAGGAGAUCACACUCAG